UGUCACUGCUGAAGAGUCAGGACGCUGCCUCAGCAGGACACACAGCUGGAACCCGGGCCCAGGCGGUGAGAUGGCCACCACAGGGGAUGUGGAUACGACACCGAGGUAGCUUGUGACCCGCCUUCUUUCCUUCGCUGGACUUGAAAGCCCCCUUGUGAGGUCGGGAUCUUCUCCAAGGAGAAGGUGACUUGCCGUACAGAUUUCAGACUCGAGACUGCAACGUCAUCUUUUGCCUAAGCUGCCUGCUGCCAGCAUUUUGGAUUUUGCCAGACCCCACAAUCACAUGAGCUCAUUCCUUACUAGAAAUCGCUCUCUCUCUCUCUGUAUCCUAUUGGCUCUCUUUCUCUGAAGAACCCCGCCUGAUGCAGCAGGAAUGUGGGGAAAAGGGCCUCUCAUACACCUGCUGGUGAGGGUGCAAAUUUGGACAACUGCAUCUGGAGGGCCAUCUGGCAGCCUCUACCAAACACUGGGCUUUGUGGUGCUCCAUUUUUACCAUUUCUCUACAGCAUGGCUUGUUAAGAAAAGUCGUGGACAAUUCAAUUGUCCACCAGUCGCCCAACACCUAACGAUCCCAGGUAGAACGCCAGCCAGCAUUUACCCACUGAUUGCCGGGUCAGGAAGCCCUUAGAGAGGGCCACCUCCUAGCAGAUGAGGAGCUGGGGGCUUGCAAUGGGGGUGACCCACCCCAGAAUGCACAGAGCUGGGACUAGGCCGGUACUCCCAGGUAGGCGUGGUCACCCUCGACCUUUGCUUCUUGGGAGCGGUCCUGGCCCCCGCUUUUUGCCAGACUUCUCCGUGGCUCCACCCACCACAUCUGAGGUUCGGCGAAGACAAGCCUUCCCUUGACUAAGAUUGCAGGGAGAGGAACCCGAAGUAAACCCACAGAAAACCCAGCAAGACCCAGUCCAGGCUGGGGUCACCCUGCCCGGGGGAACUUGACACAGUGUUUAUCUUCUCUGGCUUGAAGAGGCUCCACCAAGGCCCAGGCUCCUGGCCUCCCACCCAGGGCCUUGCUUACCUUGACAAAAGGGGCCCAUCAGGAGGCCUGUUCCCGCCAGCUCUAGUUGAAGAGGACCUGUGGGCACCGCCCCCUCCCCCCCCAUGUAUUCGGUGAUUGCUGUUGCAGGACUGGCCCCAGUGGGUGCUGAGUACCUCGUGCCUCUCCCCUCCCCGCUGCCCCGAGGUUCCAGCUGGCCAAUCUGAUAACCCAUUUAGGUUAGUAGGUAUGCCUGGGGCAAGGAGGCUGAGGGGCAAGGAGGCCCAACUGGCUGUCUGACCUGGUCAAGCCACAUAAUCGUAUUGGUGAGCCACGUCCACGAAGUGUCACAGAAUUGCUACAAGGAGCCAGUGAGCUCAUUUAUGUGAAGUCACUUUGUAAACUCUAACGGGCCAGAGAAAGGAGCGCUCGUUGUAGGUGUGUUACGUUUUUACACGUGCACAGAGGCCUCCUGAGGAAAAUAAGGCCUGAUCUGCGUGUUUCUCAAAUAGCUGACCCUGGUAAUGGGCUGAGCUCCCAAGGGAUUCUGAUGCCACACAGGUGGCAGGCAGUGGAGGCACCUGACAGAGCUGGGCCGGGAGGCUGGGAGGAUCGUUUGGAAUGAGGGGUAGCACGGACUUGGCCUGAGUAUGGGGUCAGCCCAAAGUCUCAGGGAAUCUUAAUUUUCAUCCCCAUGCCCUAAGACCAAAGAAGGGGCCCCAGGCAGGAUGGAGUGUAAUGAGUGUGCAGACGCCCCCUCAUUGCUUGGGACAGACAGGCUUGGAGGUGUGAGUCACUCCCAAGGAAGAUCAGAAAAGCACUCUUUAGGGGCGCCUGGGUGGCUCAGUCGGUUGAGCGCCCGACUUCGGCUCAGGUCAUGAUCUCGCGGUUCGUGAGUUCGAGCCCCGCGUCGGGCUCUGUGCUGACAGUUCGGAGCCUGGAGCCCGCUUCGGAUUCUGUGUCUCCCUCCCUCUGCCCCUC
Neofelis nebulosa (Clouded leopard) is the source of this 1957-nucleotide long non-coding RNA. RefSeq lists it as uncharacterized. The record is from RefSeq and is a predicted model, not a curated record. The transcript has 2 exons. NCBI's taxonomy places the organism in Eukaryota, Metazoa, Chordata, Mammalia, Carnivora, Felidae.